GGACUACAGGGGUAUCUAAUCCCGUUCGCUCCCCUGGCUUUCGCGCCUCAGCGUCAGAAGAGGUCCAGUACGUCGCUUUCGCCACCGGCGUUCCUUCCGAUAUCAACGCAUUUCACCGCUCCACCGGAAGUUCCACAUACCCCUACCUCCCUCGAGACUGCCAGUAUCCAAGGCACUUUUCCGGUUAAGCCGAAAGAUUUCACCCCGGACUUGGCAACCCGCCUACGCGCCCUUUAAGCCCAGUGAUUCCGAACAACGUUCGCACGGUUCGUCUUACCGCGGCGGCUGGCAC
This 292-nucleotide ribosomal RNA is filed under the name uncultured bacterium. RNAcentral describes it as "partial 16S ribosomal RNA". The record is from RNAcentral. RNAcentral also lists the same sequence under 2 other names.